CUGGCCGUGGCGCAGUUUGGUAGCGCACCGCGUUUGGGACGCGGGGGUCGUGAGUUCAAAUCUCACCGGCCAGACCA
RNAcentral lists this transfer RNA (77 nucleotides) under Acidimicrobiales bacterium. RNAcentral's name for it is "tRNA-Pro". It matches the Rfam family "tRNA". From Rfam's summary of the family: Transfer RNA (tRNA) molecules are approximately 80 nucleotides in length. Their secondary structure includes four short double-helical elements and three loops (D, anti-codon, and T loops). Lineage: Bacteria; Bacillati; Actinomycetota; Acidimicrobiia; Acidimicrobiales. The record is from RNAcentral.